Molecule: long non-coding RNA, 532 nt
Organism: Bolinopsis microptera
Lineage: Eukaryota; Metazoa; Ctenophora; Tentaculata; Lobata; Bolinopsidae
Exons: 4
Source: RefSeq, a predicted model, not a curated record
CUAAAAACGAAUGUCGACAAAUGUUGCAACUUUUGGCGGUUGAGGACAAUAUUUGUGAACGAGAUCACAACAUACUUGGAGUCUAUGCGAUACCCUGUGAACAUGGACAACCGUCUGUGGUUCCCAACAGUAACCGACAUAAGAAAUAUCGUAACGGUAAAAGGUCUAGAAAAAGAUAGACUCGAGGCCAUUAUCGAAGAACUACGUCAUGAAGGAAACUCGGUCCACUACGUCGAUGAGCCGGACAAGGAAAAUCCUCGGAACUCGAAGAUGCUUUUGGUCUACCAGAACCAGACGCAAAAGGAUAUACUUAAACAGUUUGGUACCGUCUUGUUUAUGGACAGCACGCACAAGACAAAUCAUUACAACUUGCCACUGUUUUUGCUCGCCUGUAGAACACCCCAAGGAUACCAGGUUGUCGCUUUUUUCAUAACGUGUUCUGAACACCCGAACGGUGAGGAGAUCAUAGCAGAAGCCCUGUCGGUCAUAAAGGGGUGGAAUCCGGGAAUGUCCCCUACAUACUGUAUGACCG